GGAGAAUUAGCUCAGUUGGGAGAGCACCUGCCUUACAAGCAGGGGGUCACUGGUUCGAACCCAGUAUUCUCCA
This 73-nucleotide transfer RNA is filed under the name Salmonella enterica subsp. enterica. RNAcentral describes it as "tRNA-Val". It matches the Rfam family "tRNA". From Rfam's summary of the family: Transfer RNA (tRNA) molecules are approximately 80 nucleotides in length. Their secondary structure includes four short double-helical elements and three loops (D, anti-codon, and T loops). Further hydrogen bonds mediate the characteristic L-shaped molecular structure. tRNAs have two regions of fundamental functional importance: the anti-codon, which is responsible for specific mRNA codon recognition, and the 3' end, to which the tRNAs corresponding amino acid is attached (by aminoacyl-tRNA synthetases). tRNAs cope with the degeneracy of the genetic code in two manners: having more than one tRNA (with a specific anti-codon) for a particular amino acid; and 'wobble' base-pairing, i.e. permitting non-standard base-pairing at the 3rd anti-codon position. The record is from RNAcentral. Lineage: Bacteria; Pseudomonadati; Pseudomonadota; Gammaproteobacteria; Enterobacterales; Enterobacteriaceae.